UACGGGGGGGGCAAGCGUUGUUCGGAAUUACUGGGCGUAAAGGGCUCGUAGGCGGCCUUCUAAGUCAGACGUGAAAUCCCUCGGCUUAACCGGGGAACUGCGUCUGAUACUGGAUGGCUUGAGUUUGGGAGAGGGAUGCGGAAUUCCAGGUGUAGCGGUGAAAUGCGUAGAUAUCUGGAGGAACACCGGUGGCGAAGGCGGCAUCCUGGACCAACACUGACGCUGAGGAGCGAAAGCCAGGGGAGCAAACGGG
RNAcentral lists this ribosomal RNA (253 nucleotides) under uncultured bacterium. RNAcentral describes it as "partial 16S ribosomal RNA". It matches the Rfam family "Bacterial small subunit ribosomal RNA", at positions 524 to 776 of the family's 1533-position model. The record is from RNAcentral.